AGAGUUUGAUCCUGGCUCAGAACGAACGCUGGCGGCAGGCCUAACACAUGCAAGUCGCAGGGGAAGCCGUCCUUCGGGGUGGUGGAGACUGGCGCACGGGUGAGUAACGCGUGGGUAUCUGCCCUGGGGUGGGGGAUAACCGCUGGAAACGGCGGCUAAUACCGCAUACGCCCUGAGGGGGAAAGCCGAGAGGCGCUCUGGGAGGAGCCCGCGUCCGAUUAGCUUGUUGGUGGGGUAACGGCCCACCAAGGCAUCGAUCGGUAGCUGGUCUGAGAGGAUGAUCAGCCACACUGGGACUGAGACACGGCCCAGACUCCUACGGGAGGCAGCAGUGGGGAAUAUUGGACAAUGGGCGCAAGCCUGAUCCAGCCAUGCCGCGUGAGUGAAGAAGGCCCUAGGAUUGUAAAGCUCUUUCACCCGUGAAGAUGAUGACGGUAGCGGGAGAAGAAGCCCCGGCUAACUCCGUGCCAGCAGCCGCGGUAAUACGGAGGGGGCGAGCGUUGUUCGGAAUUACUGGGCGUAAAGGGCGCGUAGGCGGACGAUCAAGUCAGGGGUGAAAGUCCUGGGCUCAACCUGGGGACUGCCCUUGAAACUGAUUGUCUUGAGACCGGGAGAGGAUGGCGGAAUUCCCAGUGUAGAGGUGAAAUUCGUAGAUAUUGGGAAGAACACCGGUGGCGAAGG
Molecule: ribosomal RNA, 681 nt
Filed under: uncultured Alphaproteobacteria bacterium
Lineage: Bacteria; Pseudomonadati; Pseudomonadota; Alphaproteobacteria
Description: bacterial SSU rRNA
Rfam family: Bacterial small subunit ribosomal RNA
Source: RNAcentral